UGGCAAAUAAACAUAGGAAAAUAUGUCUAAUACUAUUAGUCACUGGAGAAGUAUGAAUUAAACCCAUAAUUAGAUAAUAUUACAAACAUAGUAUAUUUUAGAUUGGUUUGUUUUGUUUUUUAGAGACAGGAUCUCACCAUGUAGCUCUGGCUGUCCUGGCACUCACUCUGUAGACCAGGCUGGCCUUGAACUCAGCCUCGAAAGUGCUGGAUUAAAGGUGUGCACCACUAUGCUCAGCUCUUUUUAGAUUAUUAUUUAUUUUUUAUGUAUGGGUGUUUUGCUUGCCUGUCUGUCUGUGCACCACUUGCACACAGUGUCUGCAUAACGCAGAAGAGGGCAUCGUAUCCUCUGGUACUGGAAUUAUGGAGCAGGAUUCAUUUUCCAGCACCUCAUGGUGGCUCACAACAUUUCUGACCAGUUCCCUGGGGAUCUGACCAUCUUUUCUGGUCUCCAGUGGCACUAGGCACACAAGGGGUGGUGUGUAGACAUACAUGCAGGCAAAAACCCAUACACAUAAAAAUUAUUCUUUAAAAAAACAUUGGCAAAUUAGCUCUGUACAAGUUUAGAUUUGUUUUAUCUGUUGGUGAAUUGUGUCUUGAAAUACCCAGAAACACCUUGGCAUAUUUCAUUUAUAAUAAUGUUGGACUCUUUCUUGGGUUGCAUUUGUUGUUGUCUUAUUUUAGCUUUGAGACAGGGCCUCACUGGAGAUUGAACCUAGGGCCUUAUUUUUGAUAGUCCAGCACUCUAUCAUGGAGACACAGCAGUUGAUUUAAAGUCAGUCUAGUAAGCACAACAUCUCAACUACUGGAUUUCCUCAGGCCACUUAUAUUGACUGUUUCAUUUCUCACAGAAGGGGCCUACUAUCCUAUUUCUUAGAGUGUCUCAUAACAGGGCUUCUUUUGUUGUUGUUUUGAGAUAGGGUCUUAUCUCAAAGACCCAGUCUGGCUUCUCACUCCCCAUGUAGUCAAGGAUGACCUUGAACUCCUAAUCCUCCAUCUUCAUCUCCAAAAUUCUGGGAUUACAGGUACCACCGCCACACCCAGUUUUAAGUGCUGCUGAGAAUUGAGCCUACGGCUUCCAACAUGCUAGAUAAACACUCUGUCAACUAAACCACAUUUCCCAGCCCUCACUAUAGGACACUUACAGUUGGAAAUGAGAAGGUCUGGAGAAAAGGCUCAGUGAUUAAAAGCACUGGCUGCUCUUCCAGAGGACCUGGUUCAAUUCCAGCACCUACAUGGUGAUUCACAACUGUCUACAGCUCUAGUUCUGAAGGGGUUAAACUCUCCCACUCUCACAACUGCAUUUAGUUUUCAGUUCUCUGAGAAGAGCAAACCAGGUGUCUCCCCCAGCAAAGGGCCCUUUAUCCACAAUGCCCUUACAUUCAGGGACAAGAGCAGAGCCAGCCUCACCAUGUCUCAAAGACAAACCCAGCAGCCUCUUCUGAGUCACGUCUGAACUUGCCCAAGUUUGUUCGAGUAUGUCCAAAAAUGAUAAGACUAAACCUCAGCCAAUUAAAAGUAUACUAAUGUAACUGCUGCUUGCUUAACCAAUUAUAUAUGCGAUCACCUAACUGUCCCUGAAACUCCUCUUAGCUGUGCUUAAAAGGAGCCUGCACACUCCUCUCCGGGUCAUCACCAUUUUGUUGAGAGUGACCAGCUGCUUGACUACCCUGCCCUCAUGACUUCCUCCACGAUGGACCAAUCGACAUCAGCCCAGACACAGCCUUUCUUCCUCAAGUUACUUCUUGUAAGUAUGUGUUCACUGCAAGGAGAGAAUAGUUCACAUGUGGGGUCUUUUCCGGGCUUGCACACGGCCUACCAUGUGUGUACAGCCUUCUGGGUGUCCCUAUGACAGUGCACUCCCCGGAUUUCCCAGGCCUUUCUGGGUUCCAGCUGCUUUUGCUGCCUGGGGCAGUUGCACUGUUAAACAAUUACCUCUGAUGGCUUCCCACUGAAACCCCAGGAGUAGGGUUUAGCUCAGAGCAAACUUCCAGUCAGGUCAAAUCAAAAUAAAACCUAAAAAGUACACAUAAGAAGUGAAGGAAAACAAACAAACAAAAACCCCCAAGAUCUAUGAAUGGGGCUUUUCCAGGGAGCUGC
RNAcentral lists this long non-coding RNA (2099 nucleotides) under Cricetulus griseus (Chinese hamster). RNAcentral describes it as "lncRNA (ENSCGRG00015036179.1)". Lineage: Eukaryota; Metazoa; Chordata; Mammalia; Rodentia; Cricetidae. The record is from RNAcentral.